UUUUUCAUAGAAAAUUUUUCUUCCUUGCUCAGGACGAGGUGCUGGCGCGCCCUACUCUAAUACAUGCAAGUCGAUCGCUUUCUUUUUUCCACCGGAGCUUGCUCCACCGGAAAAAGAGGAGUGGCGAACGGGUGAGUAACACGUGGGUAACCUGCCCAUCAGAAGGGGAUAACACUUGGAAACAGGUGCUAAUACCGUAUAACAAUCGAAACCGCAUGGUUUUGAUUUGAAAGGCGCUUUCGGGUGUCGCUGAUGGAUGGACCCGCGGUGCAUUAGCUAGUUGGUGAGGUAACGGCUCACCAAGGCCACGAUGCAUAGCCGACCUGAGAGGGUGAUCGGCCACAUUGGGACUGAGACACGGCCCAAACUCCUACGGGAGGCAGCAGUAGGGAAUCUUCGGCAAUGGACGAAAGUCUGACCGAGCAACGCCGCGUGAGUGAAGAAGGUUUUCGGAUCGUAAAACUCUGUUGUUAGAGAAGAACAAGGAUGAGAGUAACUGUUCAUCCCUUGACGGUAUCUAACCAGAAAGCCACGGCUAACUACGUGCCAGCAGCCGCGGUAAUACGUAGGUGGCAAGCGUUGUCCGGAUUUAUUGGGCGUAAAGCGAGCGCAGGCGGUUUCUUAAGUCUGAUGUGAAAGCCCCCGGCUCAACCGGGGAGGGUCAUUGGAAACUGGGAGACUUGAGUGCAGAAGAGGAGAGUGGAAUUCCAUGUGUAGCGGUGAAAUGCGUAGAUAUAUGGAGGAACACCAGUGGCGAAGGCGGCUCUCUGGUCUGUAACUGACGCUGAGGCUCGAAAGCGUGGGGAGCAAACAGGAUUAGAUACCCUGGUAGUCCACGCCGUAAACGAUGAGUGCUAAGUGUUGGAGGGUUUCCGCCCUUCAGUGCUGCAGCUAACGCAUUAAGCAUCCGC
This 911-nucleotide ribosomal RNA is filed under the name Enterococcus faecium. Its description in RNAcentral is "bacterial SSU rRNA". It matches the Rfam family "Bacterial small subunit ribosomal RNA", at positions 1 to 872 of the family's 1533-position model. Lineage: Bacteria; Bacillati; Bacillota; Bacilli; Lactobacillales; Enterococcaceae. The record is from RNAcentral.